CCUUCCAGCCUCCGGCACCCUGAGAACUGGGUGUGAGUGCUGAUUUCUCCACCUGUCUUAUUUCUUAAUAUCUGCAACCAGCUCAGAGCCAGGGAUAAGUCAAGACUCCACCAGCCCAUGUAUGGCUGCCCGGCUGCCCCCAGCCUUGCCCUCAGUUCUUCCCCGAGGGCAUGUCCUGUUGAGAGCCGGUUUCACCUGUGCAGUGUGGCCUGAUGGCCCAGCACCCAGGAGCUCUGCGCACCCUGCCGCCAUGGGCCAUCCGUCCCCAGACCUCUUCCCACAGGGUCACUGUGGUCCACCGUCCUGCCCUCGGGGAAUCUCAGCCUCCCUCUCACAGGUGCACACAUGGGGAGCAGCCAAGGAUUUCUGCAGAAAAAUUCACUCCAGAGGUCAGCAGCUAGAAGCACAAAUGGAGAGUGAGUGAGCACGAGCGCCUCGUGGACUCAGCCCUCCCAGACUUUGGCUGGGUGUAUCCCUACUACAGUGAGAUGUGAACUCUGGAACCUCUCAAGCUACAAGCCAUUCCCCACAGGAUUAUCUGCCUUCACUUUUCUAAUGUAACAACUGCUUUCCAAGGCAGUGUAGCACAGGUGAUUAAGAGUGGAUACUGCUGCAAGAGUGCCUGGAUUUCGAAGCUGGCUCUACUACUUACUGGCUGUGCAAUCUUGCGCAAGCCACUUAACCUGUCUGUGGUUCAGUUCCCUUAGCUAUAAAAAGGAGACAGAAAUAGUACCUACCUCACACGUUGCUAUGAGGAUUAAUUGAAAUAAUAUAAAUAGAAAGCACCAAGAAUAGUGUGGCACAGAGAGUAUUAUGUAAGUGUAUGCUAUAAUUAUUAAUGAUACCUUCUAUUUUCAUAAGUGUUUUUCCCUUUAUUAAGAGUUUUGUAAAGGAAUUAAUCUUGUAUAGUUCAUACCUGUGUUCUUCCAUUGCAUAGAGCAUAGCUUUUAUUUGCUAUAGCAAAUAACAUUUUUGCAAAUAGCAAAGAAAAUUUUGUUGAAUAAAUAAAUGAGUGAAUGAAUUCCUAUAUUACUAGACACGGGCAAAAAUGUUUUAAGGUGCCAGCAUCAUACCAAGAAACACAGAUGUCAGAAGUAGACACAGAGCUUUCU
Molecule: long non-coding RNA, 1112 nt
Filed under: Homo sapiens (human)
Lineage: Eukaryota; Metazoa; Chordata; Mammalia; Primates; Hominidae
Description: non-protein coding LDLRAD4-AS1:4
Source: RNAcentral